CAGAGGGUGCAAGCGUUAAUCGGAGUUACUGGGCGUAAAGGGCGCGUAGGCGGUUAGUUAAGUGAGAUGUGAAAUCCCUGGGCUUAACCUAGGAACAGCAUUUUAAACUGACGAGCUAGAGUACUGUAGAGGGUAGUGGAAUUUCCGGUGUAGCGGUGAAAUGCGUAGAGAUCGGAAGGAACACCAGUGGCGAAGGCGACUACCUGGACAGAUACUGACGCUGAGGCGCGAGAGCGUGGGGAGCAAACAGGAUUAGAUACCCUGGUAGUCCACGCUGUAAACGAUGAAGACUAGAUGUUGGUAGGCAAGACCUAUUAGUAUCGAAGCAAACGCGAUAAGUCUUCCGCCUGGGGAGUACGGUCGCAAGAUUA
Molecule: ribosomal RNA, 371 nt
Filed under: uncultured organism
Description: bacterial SSU rRNA
Rfam family: Bacterial small subunit ribosomal RNA
Source: RNAcentral